Molecule: long non-coding RNA, 255 nt
Organism: Helianthus annuus (common sunflower)
Lineage: Eukaryota; Viridiplantae; Streptophyta; Magnoliopsida; Asterales; Asteraceae
Exons: 2
Source: RefSeq, a predicted model, not a curated record
CCUAUAGUUGAAGGCUAUGGGGGUUGGGCCUUCAGACUCGAAAUAGUUCCGAUUGAAUCAUCAUAUCCCGGAUAUGGGAAACUUGUGGUGUUAGAGUCGACGGAUCAUGUAAAUUCAUGCAAACCGAUAACUAAAAGUGAUCCUUCUUACAGUGAAACGUUACAUCUUUUACACAAACUUAGAGAAAAUAUCCAUAAAAAGUCAUUCUAGUUAACCAUGUAUAUACAGAUGUACAUAGUGAAGUUGUUAGGAUAA